Small nucleolar RNA from Perognathus longimembris pacificus (Pacific pocket mouse), 96 nucleotides. RefSeq annotates it as small nucleolar RNA SNORA17. The transcript has a single exon. NCBI's taxonomy places the organism in Eukaryota, Metazoa, Chordata, Mammalia, Rodentia, Heteromyidae. The record is from RefSeq and is a predicted model, not a curated record.
ACAGUCACAUUUGUGUCAGUUGGUGGCAGAGAGAAGAGAAGCUAUCUACACUCAGUGUUUUAAUCCAUGAACAUCUGAAUGAUUUAGCCUGACACU